Molecule: long non-coding RNA, 6241 nt
Organism: Xenopus tropicalis (tropical clawed frog)
Lineage: Eukaryota; Metazoa; Chordata; Amphibia; Anura; Pipidae
Exons: 2
Source: RefSeq, a predicted model, not a curated record
UUCAACCCUAUGUCACUAUGUAACUAUGUAUAGUCACACUGAUUUAGGUCAAAUCCAUGGCGCUGGCAUCAUAAAAGUUUUCACUAGGUCUUGCAACCCAUAGCGACCAAUCAGAUGUUUGCUCUCAAGGGUGGCCAGCAAGGCUGCUUCACUUAAUUGGUUGCUGUGGGUUGUUAGACCUGGAGCACUUUGCCAUUUUCAUUAUCCCCCUUGUGUAGCUUUAUAUACCAUUGUUAUGAGUGUGCUCCUCAUCUCCUUCCCAAUAGAUAUUCCCAUUGUAAAGUCGCUGAUUCAGUGGUACAGUGAUACUCAGGAAUGGUGUGGAGAUUGUAUUCCUCCUUCUUAUCCUCUCAUCUGAUUGAUGUUAUGAUGAGACCCAAUCUCCCAUCAGGCUAUAGAAUCAUUUAAUGGGACAGAGUAUCUGGCUUUACCAAUUAACCAUUCAUUUACUCCACACUGCAGCACAAAUGGCCUAAUUGGCUCUACUUUGCACAAGCUAUAUCCUAUACAGGGCAAUCUAAUCUGUAAAUUUAUACAGCAUAGAUAUAUAUUGCCAACAGAGGCAGCUCCUCCCCACAUCAAAUACGUGUCAUUGGUCCGUGGGCCACAGGGAAUGACUUCUGUCCCUUCUGUAGUAAUGUUGGAUUUGUUUAUUAGAGUUAGAUAUUCAAAAUUCCAACAUCUGAGAGUUUUGACCAGUAAUCAUGACUUCUCAAAUCCUUUAUCUACUUCUGAUUAUAUUUGGGGCCAUGAGUUAAUGCUACUCUGGAAGCUGCACACCUGAUCUGUUUGUACAUUACAUGAUAAGAAGGUACAGGUUCAGCUGUUAAACACCGAGGGGCCCAUUCUCAAAUAAAAACUCUAUAAAUAAAAUUUGAUAUACCAUCCUGUUACUGGACUUGCACCUCUGUGUGUGUAUUUGUUGGUUAUGUUUGUAUGUAAUAUACGUGUGUAUGCACAUGUAAUGUGUGUGUAGUUGGGCCUAUCUGGGUUGCUCUAGGCAGAACACAGUCACAUUCCUGAUUAGGGAUGCACAGGGCAAUGUGAUUCCAGCCGGCCCGUACCUGAGUAAAUCUGUUACUGACACAGUGCGGAGCUGCUGUAGAUUUAGAAGCAUAGAGCUGCAUGUUUCCUUAUUCUAGAUACAGUCUGACCUCUACAUUCCCCCUGGCGUUCCUCUUCUAUAGGCACCAAGCUGGGCAGCCUUAUCUUUCCAUGGCACCUUAUGGGCAGAUCUGGCGUAGCCCUGACGUCUCUAUGCACCAUACAUGAGCUUUAUAUAGUCCAAGGGGCCGCAGGGGAUAAUGCACACGUGCAGCUCCAGGGCUAGUCAUUUGGAUCCCUACCAGGCAGCAGAUCUGCCAAGAUGGUUCUGACACCAGGUAAGAGGGAGUGACCCGGCCCAGUAGAUUUGUAACAGAAGGAAAGCAGCAGUGGCUGGCAAGUGGGCAUUAGUGGCACCCCCUGGCAGCUUCGACUUUUGUUUUCCUUUAAAUUAGGUUUAAUAAACAUAUGGGGGCCACUGACUAGGGAUUCUCUCAGCUUCUCCCAAAGGCACAGCAGUGUAAUAAUAUCAGUUUAAAGAAGAGUUUAUCCAAGUAAUAACCCCCCCGCCGUGAAUGGCCAUAGAACAUCAGCAGUAACAUUAAAGGGGUAGUUGACCUUUAAGAUAAAUUAUGUUAUAGAAGGGCUAUAAAGGACGGAAAUGCAGUUCUCUGGGCUCAGAAAUAUUCUGGGCACACAAUAAGCCCUACCCUCAUACUCAUGUCAGGGAAACAAUAUGGCAACUUCCUUCCAUAUGUAUAAAUACAAAUAUACAGAGAAAGAAUAUUCUGUGUGCCUAUUAAUCAGUAUCCUAAUACUGUACUGUAUAUGGGAAAUAAUAUGGCACCUCCCAUCCAUGGGUAUAAAUACAAAUAUACAAAGAAGGAAUGUGUAUACUAAUCUGUACCCUUAUACUACAGGUAAGGGAUCAUUUAUCCAGAAACCCAUGAAUUACAGGAAGCAAACAAUUUUAGAUUUAAAAUAUUUUUUCCCUCUGUAAUAACUAAACAGGGCCUUAUACUUAAAGGUAACUAAGCUGCAUGAAUACAUAUACUUAUAUGCUCACAUAUACUUCUAUGUAUUCAUGCAGCUUAGUUACCUUCAAAUGAUCAAAUUAUUUUUGGCAGACUUAAGGUAUGGUGAUCAAAUAUUUCUUAUCCAGAAAACCCCAGGUCCAAACAAUUCUAGAUAAUAGAUCUUACACCUGUAUAUCAAUAAGGAAGUAAUAUGGAAGCUCCCAGCCGUAUGUAUAAGCAUAAAUACACAGAAGGGAUUUUUUUGCAGUUAUUCCCUGACACUGUACUAUCUAUGUAAAACAAUAUGGCAGCCAUUCUGUACGUACAAUAACUUAUGUCAGUUUCCCAAAGUGUGAGGUGUUCUCCCAGGGAAAUGUGGGAUGCAGCAUUGGGGGGAAGCCACAUUUAUCAAUCAAAAGAAAGGGGCCGGAACUAGGGGUAGGCAGAAGAGGCACCUGCCUAGAGCGCAACGGUGGGGGGUGCCAGGCAGGUACCUCUUCUUUCACCUACCUCUAGUUCCGGGCCCAUUCCCCUCACUACAGUAACCCCCUCCAGCGGCCCCGGCCACUGUCGGGGAUCCAAACUGUUCUGCAGCAGCAGCACAGAUCAGGUGCUCUGUUGGGAGAGACUUCUGGGAUCUCUGUUGCGUUAUAUCCCGCAGGGGCAUGGGGGGCGCUGUCAGAAUCAGCAAGCAGGCAGGUACUAGGAAGCUCCCAAAUGUCUUAUGUGACUGCUGCUUGCUGGUUUAAAUAGAGUAGUGUCCCCAUGGGGUGGUGCAGCUGGGGUGACCCAGGGGUAAAGUUUGUUCUGACAGGGAGCCUCCACUCAUGGGUGCUGCUGUAUGACUGACCAUAACACCAAAGGGAUAAAACAUAUGGGGAAGUAGAAACUGCACAGUACAUUCCCAAUAGAAGGAAAUGGGGAAACAGUUAUUGGCAUUUUUGGGUGGGGGGAGAUAUUAAUUCCCUGAAUCCCUCUUGGAUAGAGUUAGUGGCUUGUUGUGCUGAAGUGUAUUGUGCAGUUCUAGUGAAAGAUCUCUUCUGAUUGGAGGAUUCACUGAUUCAGUGUAACUCAGAAUGUUACUAGUACCAGGACUGAAUCAGAAACUGCCCUGUGACAGAUCUGUGUCUUGGCUGGUUAUUGCAAGGUAUGUGGGUGCCGCCAUGCUGCCUGUGUACCCAUGUAUAUACAGAGGUUGAAUUCCCCUUUAAUAAAUUGUUUCAUCCAUGUUUUAUUUAUAAUAAGUAAGUAGCCAUUUCCACUCAUUAUGCACCACCCUGUGAGUAACUCAUUCAGCACCAUGGCUCACACAUUCCAUUUAUUAAUAGCCCCCAGGACUCUCUAUAGAAUGUACUUAGUGAGCGCUGGGGCCCAAAACUGCUCGGCAUAUUCUAGAUGGGGCCUUACUCGUGCUGUUUAAAGGGGAAGUAUGACCCCCUGUAAGUCUAUACCCCUUUAAUACAGGACAGGACCUUGCUGGCCUCUCCUGCUGCUGUCCUUCUCCAUCAUAGAUUUGCAUUAUUUAGUCCCAUUAAGGGUGCAAGUGGAGGCAGAUAUACAUAACAUUAUAUUUAUUAUCAUUGCUUCUCAUUUACCCAAUCCUCACACCCCCUGGUGCCAGUGACACCUUGUGGUAAAAUUUGUAGCACCCCUUAUUGCUAUAAAACACUUGGCAUACCCUCCCCCAGGCACUUUCCUACCCUGCUGUGUCCACAUAACUGUAUUUCCGCCCCUGAACCCUAAUGGGCAUUUCAGGACCCUCAGUCCUCUCUGGGGGAGAACAUUGCUGGGAAAAGAAGGGUCAAAGUGCCACACUGGGCAUGCUCAGUAAGGGGCUCCCCCACCUGUAGGCCCACCUCCAUCCGUUAUCUCCUUAUGAGGCUUAUGGGAUGUUAAUAUCAUUUCAUUAAGGAUAACUGGGGGGAAGGAGAGUUACUGUAGAAUAGUGCAGUACCCUAAUUUGAGUUAUUAGGGAUCUCCCCUAGUUAAUUUAGGAAAUUCACAGAUAUAUUCAGGUAAUUUUAUUGAAUGAUGUAUUUAUUGCACAAGGACUUUACCUAUUUAAUAAACACUUGGUACAGUCCAGCAGCCCAUAAAAGGCCCAUGGGAAGGAUCAAAUGAAUUGUAGUUCUUUUAUUUACUUAGCAUCACAGUAAUUUCUAGUGUUUAUUGCACAAUUAUUAUGAUUAUUGGAUCAGUUGGAUUGGAUCAAUUAAAGGGGGGAUUUGGGUUUAUCUUGCUGACAGUUUCUGUGGGAAGUUAAAAUAGCGCUCCCCCUUGAGGCGCAGUGAGAGUGGGAAUGAGAGGAACUGAGGGGAGGGGUCUGUGCUGAUAAUCGUCUUUUCUUAUAUUUUAUCUUUCAGUGUUUGCCAGUGAAUAUGGAAUGUUUGCCAAAAUAGUCAUUUAUCAAUAUGUAUUUAAUUUUACACCAUUAUGUUUAAUUCUGUUAUUAUGUUCCAAUCUGGUACCUAGGGAGAGGCUCCCCCCAAUAAGGUGGGUGGUACAGCCCCACACACAUGAAGGUGCCAUUGAGAAGCCGGGAGAGGCCAACAGAAGGCAGGAGAUUGUGGGGACACACUCAGUGUCUGCCCGGUUCCCCCCCCCCCACAUACACUCAGGGGCCUUGAGUUUCCAUGAGUUUGCCAAAAUGUACUAUAUUUCUUAUAAAAAAAAUGUCUCUUUAAUAUGGGCCCGAAAUAGUUACUGUUUACAUGAAAAAAAGUGACUAGAAUCUGAGAUCCGUUUCGUCUAGGAUUUACUAUUUACUAUAUUAAGGCUUUUCCCUGUAAGGUAUAAAUGCACAGAGGAUCAUGGGAUGUUAGAGUAGGAGCCAGGCCUUGAGGUGACAGUGAGCCAAGGUGUAUGAAAGGGGACUGAAAAAUAGGUAUAGUUUGAGUUUAGCCUAUUCUAGCCCAAUAAUGAUUCCCUGUCAGCAAUGAGAGAGUGGCGGCCAAAUCAUUUAUUUCCCAGAAUGCAUUUCCUGGUAUGUCUGUAGCUGCUGGGAGAUCACGCUGUUUACAAACGCAGCCAAGCUGCUAUUUCCUUUCCUUCAUAAUGUUCCCCCUGGCAUAUUAUUGUGCCACUUCUGUGCCAGGCCCAGUGCCAUCUUAUUGAAGAUCAGAGGGUAAGUUACCCUUUGAAAGUUGCAAGUGAAUUUUGAGUAUGUGCUUUUACAUAUCAUUCACCGUUCUCCAACUGCCAUUUGUGCCAGUUAAUAGCAACCCCUGACAAUAUGAGGGAGAAGCCCUGUGCCUGAGCAGCCUGAUGGACAGCUGUCUGUGUCAAGGUGGGGGGUCUGCACUUGUUUCCCAGUUUCUCUCUCUCUGUGACAUCACAGACAGUGUGGGAAGUUUAGCUGGUUCCCAGUUUCUCUCUCUCUGUGACAUCACAGACAGUGUGGGAAGUUUAGCUGGUUCCCGGUUUCCCCUCACUAUGACAUCACAGACAGAGUUGGUAAGACAGCUUGCAGGGCACAGUCAUUUCAUUGCUGGGAUCAGGUGAGUGGGUCAGACACAUGCACACAGGGGGCACAUUAAGGGAAAUGAUACAGAAUAGGAGGGAAAUCACAGGGAAAACAGAGCAGGUAUAAAAAGCUGUGGCUUUGAUAGAUAAAGGGGACAUGUAGCAUUUUGGAACCCCCCCCCCCCCAUAAUGAUGAAUAAUAUAUGGAAUUUUCCAUUAACAACUGCACCUUUAUUAGAGCUCCCCAUGAUCCCGUCGGACCCCGGCCUGUUACAGAUGACAGUUGGUCAUUUCCCAGACACACAGUAGGAUGAGGGCAGCCAAUCACAGCUCAGCUUUCAUACACAGAGAGGGAAACAGCAGUUCCCUGUCAGAUCCACUUGCUGCUGACUGACUCUCCUUCGUCACUACAAAGGGCUGAGAGGAACCAGUUGCCCUGCACAGCUGGGGAAGCAGUUCUACAAAGGGGAAUUGGGUAUGUGUUGGGGGCUGUUCCUGCUGACCUUUCCAUCUCUGAAUCCGCUGAUCCGGAACCGUCUGAUACGGAUCUCAAGUUCCCGAAUCCCCUGUUCCUGAGGUUCCUACUGGACCGCGCUGAGCUCGACUGUUUGAGUUCCUCAGAAUGCUGAUUCUGCAGAAAGUUGUACCACAAAUCUUUGUUGAUAUUGGAAUAUUGUAUUUCAUUAAUCUCAUAAAUAAACAUGAAGAGUUUCCAUUUC